Molecule: ribosomal RNA, 2421 nt
Filed under: Staphylococcus aureus
Lineage: Bacteria; Bacillati; Bacillota; Bacilli; Caryophanales; Staphylococcaceae
Description: bacterial LSU rRNA
Rfam family: Bacterial large subunit ribosomal RNA
Source: RNAcentral
AGUACCGUGAGGGAAAGGUGAAAAGCACCCCGGAAGGGGAGUGAAAUAGAACCUGAAACCGUGUGCUUACAAGUAGUCAGAGCCCGUUAAUGGGUGAUGGCGUGCCUUUUGUAGAAUGAACCGGCGAGUUACGAUUUGAUGCAAGGUUAAGCAGUAAAUGUGGAGCCGUAGCGAAAGCGAGUCUGAAUAGGGCGUUUAGUAUUUGGUCGUAGACCCGAAACCAGGUGAUCUACCCUUGGUCAGGUUGAAGUUCAGGUAACACUGAAUGGAGGACCGAACCGACUUACGUUGAAAAGUGAGCGGAUGAACUGAGGGUAGCGGAGAAAUUCCAAUCGAACCUGGAGAUAGCUGGUUCUCUCCGAAAUAGCUUUAGGGCUAGCCUCAAGUGAUGAUUAUUGGAGGUAGAGCACUGUUUGGACGAGGGGCCCCUCUCGGGUUACCGAAUUCAGACAAACUCCGAAUGCCAAUUAAUUUAACUUGGGAGUCAGAACAUGGGUGAUAAGGUCCGUGUUCGAAAGGGAAACAGCCCAGACCACCAGCUAAGGUCCCAAAAUAUAUGUUAAGUGGAAAAGGAUGUGGCGUUGCCCAGACAACUAGGAUGUUGGCUUAGAAGCAGCCAUCAUUUAAAGAGUGCGUAAUAGCUCACUAGUCGAGUGACACUGCGCCGAAAAUGUACCGGGGCUAAACAUAUUACCGAAGCUGUGGAUUGUCCUUUGGACAAUGGUAGGAGAGCGUUCUAAGGGCGUUGAAGCAUGAUCGUAAGGACAUGUGGAGCGCUUAGAAGUGAGAAUGCCGGUGUGAGUAGCGAAAGACGGGUGAGAAUCCCGUCCACCGAUUGACUAAGGUUUCCAGAGGAAGGCUCGUCCGCUCUGGGUUAGUCGGGUCCUAAGCUGAGGCCGACAGGCGUAGGCGAUGGAUAACAGGUUGAUAUUCCUGUACCACCUAUAAUCGUUUUAAUCGAUGGGGGGACGCAGUAGGAUAGGCGAAGCGUGCGAUUGGAUUGCACGUCUAAGCAGUAAGGCUGAGUAUUAGGCAAAUCCGGUACUCGUUAAGGCUGAGCUGUGAUGGGGAGAAGACAUUGUGUCUUCGAGUCGUUGAUUUCACACUGCCGAGAAAAGCCUCUAGAUAGAAAAUAGGUGCCCGUACCGCAAACCGACACAGGUAGUCAAGAUGAGAAUUCUAAGGUGAGCGAGCGAACUCUCGUUAAGGAACUCGGCAAAAUGACCCCGUAACUUCGGGAGAAGGGGUGCUCUUUAGGGUUAACGCCCAGAAGAGCCGCAGUGAAUAGGCCCAAGCGACUGUUUAUCAAAAACACAGGUCUCUGCUAAACCGUAAGGUGAUGUAUAGGGGCUGACGCCUGCCCGGUGCUGGAAGGUUAAGAGGAGUGGUUAGCUUCUGCGAAGCUACGAAUCGAAGCCCCAGUAAACGGCGGCCGUAACUAUAACGGUCCUAAGGUAGCGAAAUUCCUUGUCGGGUAAGUUCCGACCCGCACGAAAGGCGUAACGAUUUGGGCACUGUCUCAACGAGAGACUCGGUGAAAUCAUAGUACCUGUGAAGAUGCAGGUUACCCGCGACAGGACGGAAAGACCCCGUGGAGCUUUACUGUAGCCUGAUAUUGAAAUUCGGCACAGCUUGUACAGGAUAGGUAGGAGCCUUUGAAACGUGAGCGCUAGCUUACGUGGAGGCGCUGGUGGGAUACUACCCUAGCUGUGUUGGCUUUCUAACCCGCACCACUUAUCGUGGUGGGAGACAGUGUCAGGCGGGCAGUUUGACUGGGGCGGUCGCCUCCUAAAAGGUAACGGAGGCGCUCAAAGGUUCCCUCAGAAUGGUUGGAAAUCAUUCAUAGAGUGUAAAGGCAUAAGGGAGCUUGACUGCGAGACCUACAAGUCGAGCAGGGUCGAAAGACGGACUUAGUGAUCCGGUGGUUCCGCAUGGAAGGGCCAUCGCUCAACGGAUAAAAGCUACCCCGGGGAUAACAGGCUUAUCUCCCCCAAGAGUUCACAUCGACGGGGAGGUUUGGCACCUCGAUGUCGGCUCAUCGCAUCCUGGGGCUGUAGUCGGUCCCAAGGGUUGGGCUGUUCGCCCAUUAAAGCGGUACGCGAGCUGGGUUCAGAACGUCGUGAGACAGUUCGGUCCCUAUCCGUCGUGGGCGUAGGAAAUUUGAGAGGAGCUGUCCUUAGUACGAGAGGACCGGGAUGGACAUACCUCUGGUGUACCAGUUGUCGUGCCAACGGCAUAGCUGGGUAGCUAUGUGUGGACGGGAUAAGUGCUGAAAGCAUCUAAGCAUGAAGCCCCCCUCAAGAUGAGAUUUCCCAACUUCGGUUAUAAGAUCCCUCAAAGAUGAUGAGGUUAAUAGGUUCGAGGUGGAAGCAUGGUGACAUGUGGAGCUGACGAAUACUAAUCGAUCGAAGACUUAAUCAA